UUAACCUACGGGGGGCAGCAGUGAGGAAUAUUGGUCAGUGGUCGGGAGACUGAACCAGCCAAGCCGCGUGAGGGAUGAAGGUACAGAGUAUCGUAAACCUCUUUUGUCAGGGAACAAAGGCGGGGACGGGUCCCCGGAUGAGUGUACCUGAAGAAAAAGCAGCGGCUAACUCCGUGCCAGCAGCCGCGGGAAUACGGAGGAUGCGAGCGUUAUCCGGAUUUAUUGGGUUUAAAGGGUGCGCAGGCGGUCGGUUAAGUCAGAGGUCAAAGCCCGGGGCUCAACCCCGGCCCGCCGUUGAAACUGGG
Molecule: ribosomal RNA, 305 nt
Filed under: uncultured bacterium
Lineage: Bacteria
Description: bacterial SSU rRNA
Rfam family: Bacterial small subunit ribosomal RNA
Source: RNAcentral